This 793-nucleotide ribosomal RNA is filed under the name uncultured bacterium. RNAcentral describes it as "bacterial SSU rRNA". It matches the Rfam family "Bacterial small subunit ribosomal RNA", at positions 8 to 796 of the family's 1533-position model. The record is from RNAcentral.
AGAGUUUGAUCCUGGCUCAGAUUGAACGCUGGCGGCAGGCCUAACACAUGCAAGUCGAGCGGUAGAGAGAAGCUUGCUUCUCUUGAGAGCGGCGGACGGGUGAGUAAUGCCUAGGAAUCUCCCUGGUAGUGGGGGAUAACGUUCGGAAACGGACGCUAAUACCGCAUACGUCCUACGGGAGAAAGCAGGGGACCUUCGGGCCUUGCGCUAUCAGAUGAGCCUAGGUCGGAUUAGCUAGUUGGUGGGGUAAUGGCUCACCAAGGCGACGAUCCGUAACUGGUCUGAGAGGAUGAUCAGUCACACUGGAACUGAGACACGGUCCAGACUCCUACGGGAGGCAGCAGUGGGGAAUAUUGGACAAUGGGCGAAAGCCUGAUCCAGCCAUGCCGCGUGUGUGAAGAAGGUCUUCGGAUUGUAAAGCACUUUAAGUUGGGGGGAAGGGUUGUAGAUUAAUACUCUGCAAUUUUGACGUUACCGACAGAAUAAGCACCGGCUAACUCUGUGCCAGCAGCCGCGGUAAUACAGAGGGUGCAAGCGUUAAUCGGAAUUACUGGGCGUAAAGCGCGCGUAGGUGGUUAGUUAAGUUGGAUGUGAAAUCCCCGGGCUCAACCUGGGAACUGCAUUCAAAACUGACUGACUAGAGUAUGGUAGAGGGUGGUGGAAUUUCCUGUGUAGCGGUGAAAUGCGUAGAUAUAGGAAGGAACACCAGUGGCGAAGGCGACCACCUGGACUGAUACUGACACUGAGGUGCGAAAGCGUGGGGAGCAAACAGGAUUAGAUACCCUGGUAGUCC